AUAUGGUCUCCUGACAUUUUAAUUUGGUCUCCUGACAUUUUAAUAUGGUCUCCUGACAUUUUAAUUUGGCAUUCUUGACAUUAAGAAUUGUAAAACUUGUGUGAAUCUCCAAUACUUCCAUGAGAUCUUAUUUGCAUGUGUGGAUUACUUGUUCAAUUUAUUUGCCAGCUAUUCAUUUUAAUGAUAUUAUUUUCUAUAUUUCUUCACUUUUAAUAAAGUUCGAUGUGGUUAAAAACUUAUUGACAAGCAUAAAUUAUUAUAACAAGCAUAGUCCAUUUUAAAAAAAAAAAUAGUCUACAUUUUUUGUUAGUAAACAAAUAUUUUCAGACUAACUUCCAUAAACUUUUUAAAAAAAGUAAACAAAUAACAAGCAGACUAUUUGUUCUAAUAAUUCAACUAUGUUCAUUACUUUCCAUGACUAUUUUAGAAAAGAUAAAAUUAUGGGGGAAAUAUUAGUACCCCAAUGAAAAGCUUCUAUAUCACUAAUAAAUUGUCCUGUACUUAAAUAUUAACAAAUCAAAAUAAUCUCAAUACCUACUUCUGAAGUUUAAGUAAUUGUAACUAUGAAAAUGAUAAUAUCAUAAAUGCUUGUAGCUGCAUGUAUUUCAUCUUAUUUGGGCUGUCAUAAUUGUAUUCCACAAAUGAAUUUCACUCAAUAAUUUUGUUAUUGGACAGUAAAUGAGUUAUCAAGUUUUCCCAUAUCAUAUAAACAUUUUUCUAAGGAAACAUUACUCUUUAGUAUCUAAGACUAAGAUUAAGACUGCUUUAUUGAUCCUUACUGCACUUUUUGUUUUCUUAAAGUAGAGCAAUUUUUGAAUAAGUUUGCACAAAUGCUACCAUAGCAGAAUUAUUACUUAAAGAAGUGAUAUUUUAGAAGUUUUUAUCUCUAUUAUUUCAGAAUCUAUUGUAGUAAGUAAUGCUUAUUGAGUAGAAUUGAAAGAACUAUGUUUUGUACACUUUUAUUAAAUACAUCUCAAAUCUCUUCUUAAAAGGAAACUGCCUUGAAGCAAUUAGUUACUGAAUAUAAGGAUGAUUAUUAUUUUUAUAACUUUUUCUAAAUCUUGUUUUAUUUGACAAGCUUGUUUCUACAUAUCCAAAUAUUGAAUGUUUACCUGCAAUGUGCUGGAUAAUAUAGACAUUGUUGAUGUUGUUUACAUGAAACAUAAGUGUCAAAUAUAUGGUCUUGAUUAAAAGUAUGUGUUUAUAUUUGUUAUCAUCAUUAAGUUAUAAAAGCUGUUGGCUGUUUUUCUAAAGUAAUUCUAUACAAAUUAUAAAUGUUUUUUAAUCAAUCAAUGAUUAAUUAUGCAUUAAAAAGUGGCAUUGUCAUACCAUUCUGUUUUGGUGUGUAUUAUCUGUCAUUAAUAAACAAUUAUAACCUCUACGAAUUUACAUGAAUUUUUUGUUUUGAUUUACAAGUUUUGGCUGUUUCUUC
Molecule: non-coding RNA, 1432 nt
Organism: Biomphalaria pfeifferi
Lineage: Eukaryota; Metazoa; Mollusca; Gastropoda; Planorbidae
Source: the annotation of a GenBank genome assembly